Molecule: long non-coding RNA, 572 nt
Organism: Mytilus californianus (California mussel)
Lineage: Eukaryota; Metazoa; Mollusca; Bivalvia; Mytilida; Mytilidae
Exons: 3
Source: RefSeq, a predicted model, not a curated record
AUUACCAGGUCCAAAGCAUCCACCUGGACAUUUGAAUUCACGAAAAACGGAGAUAAGUGGUUACAAAUGAAUCGACCAAAACACCCAGAACUACUAAUACUGACGAAGAAGGGAAAUAAUUAGUUACAAAAAGCUCAUCUGGAAAAUGUCUAAAGAUUACUUUCAAAUUUGACUCGGAUACAAAAAUAACUGUAAUGGAAAAAUGGGAACAAUUAACUGGAUGGUAAAAUGUGAAACUCGUACGAACAGUUGAAGGAAAUAAAAUGACAGCAGUUAUGGAAGAUCUGGAAAGUGGAGAAAAGAUGACCCAAAUUCUCGAGAAAUGCACAUAGUCUGAGGAAACAAAAUAGUGGAGUGGUAAUAACCUUCAUCAGGUGGUGUUGUUUGAAUAUUUACCAGUACAUUCUUAAAACGUCAUUUAAUACUGACUGAAUGUGUUUGUUAUGAAAUGCAAUGUAGAAAAAGCCACAAAAGAACAAAAGAAAACAGAAGAUCUUUCAAGAAUCUUAGGCCACAAUAUUCAAAGCAAUUCACAAUUAAUCUGAUAUUAAAACAAACGAAAUUGCUUUUUG